This 76-nucleotide transfer RNA is filed under the name Calidithermus terrae. Its description in RNAcentral is "Meiothermus terrae tRNA-Lys". It matches the Rfam family "tRNA". From Rfam's summary of the family: Transfer RNA (tRNA) molecules are approximately 80 nucleotides in length. The record is from RNAcentral. Lineage: Bacteria; Thermotogati; Deinococcota; Deinococci; Thermales; Thermaceae. RNAcentral also lists the same sequence under 1 other name.
GGAGGCGUAGCUCAAUUGGCAGAGCCCUCGACGCUUCCUCGAGACCGCGUAGGUUCGACCCCUACCGCCUUCACCA